RNAcentral lists this transfer RNA (72 nucleotides) under Camelus ferus (Wild Bactrian camel). It matches the Rfam family "tRNA". From Rfam's summary of the family: Transfer RNA (tRNA) molecules are approximately 80 nucleotides in length. Lineage: Eukaryota; Metazoa; Chordata; Mammalia; Artiodactyla; Camelidae. The record is from Rfam by way of RNAcentral.
GAGGGUAUAGCUCAGUGGUAGAGUGCAUGCUUGGCAUACAUAAGGUCCUGGGUUCAAUUCCCAGUACCCCCU